GGCUUGCUUCAGAUGUUGGUGGGAGCUGCCUCCUCAGUGUGCUGUGGCCGUGGCAAGGGGGAGGCCAAGGGGAGAGGGCAGAGAGCCCGAGAGGGGACGGCUGCCUUUGACGCAGCACUGGGAGAGGCAGACCCUGGGUCUGGUUCUCGGGGCCCCGGGGAGCAGGGCUCGUCGACUGCAUUCGUCUGCUGCCACUGUCAGGGCUGGGCCACCUCGGGAGGGACUGUCCUGGGAGGCCCCCUGAGCCAUGCCCUGACUGUGGGGGUGGCCACUGGAGGUUGGGCUGUCCUCUGGAGCGGGGGCCCCAGGGUUAGGACCCCUCUUACUAGCUGGUCCGGCAGGAAUGAAGGGCCCAGGGCAUACUCUGCCUUCUCCGUCUGGCCGGACUGCUGUCUCCAAGGAGGAGCCCCACAAAAUCAUGACUAUAGAAGAAAAAGUGGACGAUCUGUUGCUGGACACUGGUGCUGGUCUCUCGGUCCUUCUUUUCAGCCCUGCCCUUCCUUCCAGCCAUCACACCUCAGUGAGGGGAGUCACUGAUGAGGAGCCAAAAGGAACGGGACAGUACAUGGGGAGAGGAGACGCAUCUCUCAGACCAGGUCUCACCACCAACCCUGGUGCCCAUGAUGGGUUUUGCUCGUUAAGACAGUGCCCAGGGCUCCACGGACCGCGCCCAGGAGUGGGAAGCGCUGUGCGCCCUCAGAGACGCUCGUUACCGCUCUUCCUCUGCCCAGAACCGACUCCCAGCCCUGCGGCCUCUCUCUGUUAUUUCUCCCUGCCGUGUGAUAUCUAUCUGAAUUUAACUUUUCCUUUCCCCUCCACCAAAACAUCUAGGAUUCCAGCUCAGACGUCUCUAAGGAGUUUAUCUGCGUUUGCACAAAUAGCACAGAAAUUCUUAACCAACUACAAAUUAGCCACCAGGACCAACUCCGAGCCCCCUGGGGCUCUUCCUUCUGUGGGAGCUUGUGUUUACCCUGCAGUGCUUUCAGGCCCGUCCUCCUGACGUCUCUGGCCUCCCCAGGGGUCUUGUUCGUGUGUUCUUGUCACCUUGGUCCACAGGAACCAUCAGUCACGUCUGCGCUCCGCAGCCUCUGUGGGGAAUCAAAGGCCUCCGGCUGCGGGCUGCAGGCUGCAGGCGAGCGGCCGCCCGGCAUUGUUUUGCAUCCAGCCUGUAUGUUGGGAAUUAAUAAGGCAGACGGCACUGAUGGCCUCGAAACUGCCACUCUCCAGGCCUUCCUGGUGAAAGUCCUGUGGGCUCUGCUACCGACGCAGGCUGCGGGUCCCGGGGCAGGGAUGCCAGGAUGCACAGCGGAUGUCCCUUUGGAGUCGGGUCGGCAAGGUUAACAUAAAAGCGAAGUUUCAUUUUCUCCCCGUGCUUAUGCGUAAAAAAUCCCUAACUGUCCUUCAGCAGAAGGCUUCCUCGGAUGGGAGACGGGCUGUCCUCCUGCCCAGGGACUCCAGAGGGUGUCAGCGCUGAACGCACAGAGCUGCUCCUGUCACCAUGGUGACCGCUUCUCUACCCAGCCCCUGCCAGGGGCAGCAAGGGGCCCCUUACUCCCUGGCCUAUGGAGUAAGAUUGGAGAGCAUGCCGGGCAUGUUGGCACACGCCUGUAA
Molecule: long non-coding RNA, 1611 nt
Organism: Chinchilla lanigera (long-tailed chinchilla)
Lineage: Eukaryota; Metazoa; Chordata; Mammalia; Rodentia; Chinchillidae
Source: Ensembl